This 440-nucleotide ribosomal RNA is filed under the name uncultured bacterium. RNAcentral describes it as "partial 16S ribosomal RNA". It matches the Rfam family "Bacterial small subunit ribosomal RNA", at positions 338 to 795 of the family's 1533-position model. The record is from RNAcentral.
CCUACGGGUGGCAGCAGUAGGGAAUAUUGCACAAUGGGGGAAACCCUGAAGCAGCAACGCCGCGUGGAUGAAGAAGGUCCUCGGAUCGUAAACUCCUUUUGUUAGAGAAGAUAAUGACGGUAUCUAACGAAUAAGCACCGGCUAACUCCGUGCCAGCAGCCGCGGUAAUACGGAGGGUGCAAGCGUUACCCGGAUUCACUGGGCGUAAAGAGCGCGUAGGCGGGAAUGCAAGUCAGAAGUGAAAUCCUAGGGCUUAACCAUAGAACUGCCUUUGAAACUGUUAGGCUAGAGGCCAGGAGGGGUAGGUGGAAUUCUUGGUGUAGGGGUAAAAUGCGUAGAGAUCAAGAGGAAUACUCAUUGCGAAGGCGACCUGCUAGAACGUAACUGACGUUGAUGCGCGAAAGCGUGGGGAGCAAACAGGAUUAGAUACCCGAGUAGUC